AGCGAACGCUGGCGGCAGGCUUAACACAUGCAAGUCGAACGGGCAUCUUCGGAUGUCAGUGGCAGACGGGUGAGUAACACGUGGGAACGUACCCUUCGGUUCGGAAUAACUCAGGGAAACUUGAGCUAAUACCGGAUACGCCCUUUUGGGGAAAGGUUUACUGCCGCAGGAUCGGCCCGCGUCUGAUUAGCUUGUUGGUGGGGUAACGGCCUACCAAGGCGACGAUCAGUAGCUGGUCUGAGAGGAUGAUCAGCCACACUGGGACUGAGACACGGCCCAGACUCCUACGGGAGGCAGCAGUGGGGAAUAUUGGACAAUGGGCGCAAGCCUGAUCCAGCCAUGCCGCGUGAGUGAUGAAGGCCUUAGGGUUGUAAAGCUCUUUUGUCCGGGACGAUAAUGACGGUACCGGAAGAAUAAGCCCCGGCUAACUUCGUG
This 435-nucleotide ribosomal RNA is filed under the name uncultured bacterium. RNAcentral describes it as "partial 16S ribosomal RNA". It matches the Rfam family "Bacterial small subunit ribosomal RNA", at positions 29 to 507 of the family's 1533-position model. The record is from RNAcentral.